AGUGAACGCUGGCGGUAGGCCUAACACAUGCAAGUCGAACGGCAGCACAGUAAGAGCUUGCUCUUACGGGUGGCGAGUGGCGGAAGGGUGAGGAAUACAUCGGAAUCUACUUUUUCGUGGGGGAUAACGUAGGGAAACGUACGCUAAUACCGCAUACGACCUGCGUGUGAAAGCAGGCGCUCUUCGGAACUUGCGCGAUUGGAUGAGCCGAUGUCGGAUUAGUUAGUGGGCGGGGUAAAGGCCCACCAAGGCGACGAUCCGUAGCUGGUCUGAGAGGAUGAGCAGCCACACUGGAACUGAGACACGGUCCAGACUCCGACGGGAGGCAGCAGUGGGGAAUAUUGGACAAUGGGCGCAAGCAUGAUCCAGCCAUACCGCGUGGGUGAAGAAGGCCUUCGGGUUGUAAAGCCCUUUUGUUGGGAAAGAAAAGCAGCAGUUUAAUACCCCGCUGUUCUGACGGUACCCAAAGAAUAAGCACCGGCUAACUUCGUG
Molecule: ribosomal RNA, 492 nt
Filed under: uncultured bacterium
Lineage: Bacteria
Description: partial 16S ribosomal RNA
Rfam family: Bacterial small subunit ribosomal RNA
Source: RNAcentral